GAGAAAAUAUAAUGUGUGACAAUAGGACACAGAAAAAUUAUCUAUACGAAAAGAGUGCACAUUUAUUGAUAAAGUAUGCAUAUCAAAAAGUCAUGGUAUCAUGCUGUCACUGCACCCCUCAUAAGUGCUAAAGGUAGUACAGGCAUAUCACACCAAAAGAUUGCAGUACACUGAGAUGACACACAUUUUCCAGCAAAAGAGCAAAAGAAAAUGUUUGGAAAAUCUCAAUUUGCCGUACUACCUGCAACUGUCAGACAGGGGAGAGACAAUCCAGAAGACUAUCUCCCAAAAAAGUGUGAAAUUCCUGGACGCGUUUCACACCUCCCUUUCUCAACAAGGGCUUACAAAGAAAAUUCCGGAUUUGAUCGAGCAAAUACAUCUCAUCAGAGGUAUUGCCAUGAGAUUAAAUCGUCUUUCUGGUACCUCAUUGUAUACCCUGCCUGG
This is a non-coding RNA of Pelobates cultripes (western spadefoot toad), 444 nucleotides long. NCBI's taxonomy places the organism in Eukaryota, Metazoa, Chordata, Amphibia, Anura, Pelobatidae. The record is from the annotation of a GenBank genome assembly.